AAAAUUAAUCAUCAAUCAUUAAUUAGAAAAAGAUAUUAAAAUAAUAAAUGAUUUCUUUUACAUAAAAGAAUAUAUAUGAAUAUGUAAAGUAAAAGUUGUGAAAAAAAAAACGAAUUUCGUUAUUAUUUCAAAUUUUUUUGAAAACUCACACAUACUCACUGUCAUAAUGGCUGGUAUGACUAAUGCUUUUGUUAUUUUUGCGAAGCUAUUAAAUCGCCAGAAGAUGAAAUACAUAAAGCAGAAACGAAAUUUUUAUGACCAACAAAGAAGAAUUGUUCACCCGUUUUUACAUGUUUGACAGUAACUUUAUUUCCCAUUGGAUACACAAGAUGCUCUCCAUCAGGAUGUAAUUGUAAACCAUUUCUCAUUAUACCUAAAAAUAAAUUUAUUCAAAAUGACUUUAUUGCUCAUUGCAAUUGAAUAAUAUAAAUGUUACAUUAUUAAAUAUGAUUAAAGAAAUAUUAUUAGGAAAGUAAAAAAUAUAAUAUAUUCUUAGAACAUAUUUUUUGCAUGAAUAUACAUAUAUAAAAUUUUUGGUUAUAUGAUAAAUAGAUACUUGUAUGUGUACGUGCGUAUACUCAUAUUUUGUUUGUAUGUAUGCAUAUGUCAAUUAUAAUGUCAAUUACAACUUUUUAUUGAAAA
Apis cerana (Asiatic honeybee) is the source of this 642-nucleotide long non-coding RNA. RefSeq lists it as uncharacterized. The record is from RefSeq and is a predicted model, not a curated record. Lineage: Eukaryota; Metazoa; Arthropoda; Insecta; Hymenoptera; Apidae.